UAACACGUGGAUAACCUACCUAUAAGACUGGGAUAACUUCGGGAAACCGGAGCUAAUACCGGAUAAUAUUUUGAACCGCAUGGUUCAAAAGUGAAAGACGGUCUUGCUGUCACUUAUAGAUGGAUCUGCGCUGCAUUAGCUAGUUGGUAAGGUAACGGCUUACCAAGGCAACGAUGCAUAGCCGACCUGAGAGGGUGAUCGGCCACACUGGGACUGAGACACGGCCCAG
Molecule: ribosomal RNA, 229 nt
Filed under: uncultured Staphylococcus sp.
Lineage: Bacteria; Bacillati; Bacillota; Bacilli; Caryophanales; Staphylococcaceae
Description: partial 16S ribosomal RNA
Rfam family: Bacterial small subunit ribosomal RNA
Source: RNAcentral